AGUGGUCUGCAAGCUAAUAAUUUCUGGUGAUGGUUAGCAUGGUUAACAUUAAUUUUUGACUUAACAUAACCUAGGAGGAGAGUCUCAAUGGGGGGUGGGGGUGUCUACAUCAGAUUGGCCCUUGGACGUGCCUCCAGGGGGAAUGUCUUGAUUGUUAAUUGAUGUAGGAGGAUCCAGCCCACUGUGGGUAGUACCAUUCCCUAGGGUGGACCCCUAACUAUACGAAUGUGGAGAAACUGAGUUUACUGUGAGCCAGCAGGUGAACACAUAUGUGUCUCUUCUCACGGAUCGUAACCAUAAAUUUUAAGUUCUGCUCACUAUGACUUGCUGGCUAUGGUGGCUCUAACCUGGAAUUCUAAGUGAAAAAUAAGCCUUUUUGUUCCCCAAGGUAUUUGGGUCAGAGUAUUUUAUCAUAGCUACAGAAGGAAAAUAAUGUCCUUACAGAAUGAUCAUUACUGUUGUUUGGACAGAAAUGCAGCUGUACACGACAGCCAGGGAAAGUGGUGCACAGGGAUGAUCUGCCAUUGACCUGAGAACAAGUCACAGUGGAAGAAGAUUGGUAGAUAAACUCUUUGUGGACAACACUUGAGCCAACUUCAUACAUACUGAAUCCUGUUAUCGCCUCAUGGUCUUAAUUUGGUUGUUGUGACCUCAUCCACCUUGUCUAUACUCCUAGAAGGGAACAAAAGGGUAAGACUUAGGGACUGCAGGACAUUGCAGCAGAUGCCCUUUUUAUUUUGAGUAGGCACAACCCUGAUUGAUCAGCCAACUUAUAGUCAUGCCACUGUCUAGACUCGUGACCCAGGGCCUGCUUCCUGGCUGAAAAGAGGGUUAGACAAAUGUGCUGCAAAACCAGGUGUGCCAAUGACUUAUGCCAACUUUUCUAAUGGGAAGACCAUCACUCAGGGAGGGGAAACAAUUUACCCAAAUGUAUACCUCAUUCUAAAAGCAGACCCUUAUCUGUCUGACUUCAAGCUUCCUUCCUUUUCUGUGAUGUUUUGCCAGUUCAGCCUAUUAUCAUUCUAGAAUCACUGCUGUUUUCAUGGGCCACACAUUUGCCUUAGUUUGAGGGGCUGCUUAAAAAAACAAAACAAAACAAAAAAAAACCCUUUUCUUUAGAUGAAGAUAGAGUAAUUUAGCAGACACCCUUUUUAAAAGUCAAUUGAUUGGGUUAGAGAACAGAGCUGAAAAGUAAUCUUCAAGCAUAACGUAGCUUGUUAUCUUUUUGUUUUAAUGUCAGCAUCAAAAGGGCUAGUAGCAUUCUGGGUUCAGGUUCAUGGUUUACUCUUCUUUUAAGGUCAUUUCUACCCCUGUACUUUUUAGUGCAGCCAUAUGUGUCUGAAGAGGGAUUAGACAACAUCCUACCUGAGUCUGUAACAGUCAGAGGUGAGGGAGAGGCCAGCUGCUAACAGCCUGGUAUGGAUGGAUGCUGGCUGCUUUUUAACACUUCUACUCUGUGUCAGUUUUCCUUCAUGGCGUUGUGGGUUUUCCUUCAGGAUUGUUUAGUCAAUAGCAAUGGUGGCCUGAUCACACCACAGCCCUGAGCCAGGGAAGCCUGUGUGCAUCUGUUACUACAGAUCUGAACUGAGAGCCAUGAAGACAAAGCCAAGAUAGUGUUUAUCAUUCAAAAUCAGACAACACAGCUAGCUGUCAGGAAGAGCAGAGACACAGGGGCAGCCUUAGACGUGAUGCUCAGUGGCGGUUGUGUUAUGGAAUUAAGUUUGGGAUAGAUUAUUGGGUACAUUCUCUUUGCCAGAGAUUAUGGCUAUUGUACGUUAUUGCAUGCAUUAUUGUAUUAUUGUUUCUUAUUGUAUCUACUACUGUCUGUUAUUGUGUGUUGAGGUAUGUUGGAUAGCUAUUUCCUCUGAGUUGAAUCAUUCAGAGUGAGGCUCGGGAAGUAAGGAAUUAAACAAAACUUAGAAGUCUCUGGAGACUCCUGACACCAAGAUUCCCAAGUCCUGACCCUGAGGUUUUAAUGUCAGCAUCAAAAGAGCUAGCAUUCUGGGUCUCAGUAGUGCCCAGUGGCUGGGGAGAUGCUUCAAGUCAUGCAGGGAACUCCAGGAAUGCGGCUUUCACCCAUGCUGGGGUAGACUUUACAGAAAUGCAGCUUCCUCUGAGUCAGCUCGGCUCUUGUACAUCACCUCCUGCCCCUGUGCCUGCCCACUACCCCAGUAAACCACUGGUUCAUCAAGCUAACCUCCGAGCCGUCCUAUCUGGAGUAGACAGGCAUUUAUUCACAUUUUCCCAUGAAAAGUCACCUAACAAGGUGAUUUUCCUAUUCAUGGCUGUAAUUGGUCUUUAAAAAGCUGCAGAGUGCUGGUGAUGUGCCCAUCUUCCAAGAACCCAAGGGCCAGAGCACAAGUUGACCUUCCCCAAGUCCAGAGCAGGCACUGUCCACUCUGGAUCUGUGUUAUCUCUGCUCUACCUACUGCCCUUGAAGAAGCAUGGGUUCUGUGUCCAGCACGGCAUUAAUCCUCCAGCGGACACUGAGAAAGGAGUCCAGGACUCACCUGUUUUCUGAGUGGCUUCAUUGGCCAAAUCGCCAGUUUCCUGAGUUAUGUGCUUCUUGGUCAGUCCUAAGACUGAUUCUGAACCAGGGCGUAUAGUUAGGGGCUCCUUUAUAUAAUGAAUUAUUAAGUCACAUUUGUAAUCCAUAUUAUAGAAAGGAGUUAGCAUGUGUGUUAUAACCAGUUCUGUGUGUAGGACUUGCUUGUUCUGGGUUAACCCUUCCCAGACCUGAUGACUCUGGAGGAGUUCAGUCCUGACGCCAAGCGCACUUAGUUUCAAGGUUGUGUCGGAGCCCAGAUGCCACAGCAAAGGAUGAUAAGGAGAGAGCUACAGCCAUCACCAGUCUCAGAAAUGUGACUUGCUACCUGAGAAGAUCCAUGAUACGGAGCUUUGGGUGCCUUGGUCUCCACUCCCUUCUCCCUAUGUUCAAUUCCUGUCUCCUCAUUGGCAUUUGUGGCUACAGGCACCAUGAGCUCUGAUGUUCUGAUUAUGAUUUGGCAACAAUAUGUGAAGAAUGGUCAUUUAGCUGAUGUUAGGCGACAAAUAACAAUUGCAUGUACUUAAGCAGCAGUGUCUAUGAUAUUUUAGUAUGAAUUGUGAAAUGAUUGAGUCAAACCUGCUAACAUAUCCAUCACCUUUCUUUCUUUGGGGUUAAGACACAUAAAAACUACUAUUUUACUAGUGUUAAAAACUGAAAUGUUUUUCUUUGUUUCUUAGUUUCUUUCUUUUUCAAAUCAUUUGUCAUCGCCCUACUGUUUCACAGAUUAUGAAACCCUUUUGUUCUGGUUACCUUUGACUGUCAUCUUGACACAGCCUAGGGUCAUUUGAGAAGAGUCUCAACUAAGGAAUUGCUCAGAUCAGAUACUUAUAGGCAUGUCUAUGAGGGAUGGUCUUGAUUUUUAAUUAAUGGAGGAGGGCUCAGCCCACUGUGGGCGGGAUCAUUCCCUGGGCAGGUGGCUAUAGGCUGUAUCAGAAAGCUAGCUAACCAAGGGUCUGAGAAUGAGGCAGCAUGUAGCAUUCCCCCAUGGUGUUUCUAUUGCAAGCCCCAGCUUGAGUUUCUGCCUUGAUUCUCUCAAUGAUGGAUUCUGGUCUGAAAGUAUAACCAAAGUCACCCUUCCCUCCACUAAGUUGCUUCAGUCAGUGUGUUUUAUUACAGCAACAGAAAAGAUAGAAGGAUGUGUGAAACAUUCUUUAUGUGCAGCUGGAAUUGCACCUUCCUACCUACACAUUACCAUUCUCUGCAUGCCCCAGGCCUGUAAGGACCACUCUAUUCUGUUUCUAUGAGUUUGCCUUUUCAGAAUCCUCAUAAAGCUGGAAUUUUGCAGCAUUUGUCUUUAAAGGCCUGGCCUAUUAUUUUACUUAGUCUCACGUCCUCCCGCUUCAUCUAUGUUGACACAAUGACAUAAUUACAGCUGAAUCACAUUCCACAGUGCAUACACAUUGCAGUUUCUUUAAUCACUCAUCCAUUAUUGAACAUGUACUAUGACUCUGUAUAUUAGUUAUUUUGACUAACAUUGCAGUGGGCAAGAGGGUUCAGAUAUGUCUGAUGUAUUGAUUUCUGUUCCCUUAUAUACAAACCCAGUAGAAGCUCUGCUGACUUAUAUGGUAUAGCAAACAUGCUGUCUUCCACAAUAUCUAUUCUAAUUUACACUCCCACCAAAAAUGCUUCAUUUUUCUUACAGCCCUUCCAAUACUUCCAUUUUUUAUCAUUGAUACUGGCCAUUGCAAGCAUUGGCAAGUGGUAUCUCACUGUGGUUUUAAUUUGCAUUUGCUAUAGUUUGUGAGAUUGAACUUUAUUUUUCAUGCACUCAUUGACUUUUUGUAUAUUGUACAAGAAGUGUUUACUCAGGUCCCUUGCUCACUUUAAAAUCAGGUUAUUUGUUUUCUUGCUAUUGCCUUGUUUAGGUUUCUUACGUGUUGUGGCAAUUAGUCCCUUCUCAGAUGUGUGCUGUGCAAAUACUUCCUCCUGCUCUGCAGGUUGUCUCUUUCCUCUACAGAUGCUGCUGUGCAGUACAGAGCCUUCGGGGAUCACUCAGCUCCCUCAGUCUGGCUUUGUUAUGUUACAUGCAUUUGAAGGUCAUCUCCAAGAAGUCUCUGUUUAGGCUAAUGAUGUUUUACUUUCCUUGUGUUUGAUCUUGGUGGUUCCCAAAGCUCUUUUAUUGUACUUAACUAUUCCUUCAAAUACACACACACACACACACACACACACACACACACACACACACACACACACACACACACACACAUUCUAUUCCCUGAAUGGAAUAUACCUAGAUCUCAAACCUAGGGCCUUACACACACCAGCUACAUCCCAGGUUAAGUCUUUAACCCACUUUGAAUUGAACUUGUGUAUGGUAUGAAUGGUUCAUUUUUCUGUAUGUAGAAAUCCAUUUUCAUAACACCAUUCAUUGAAGAACUUUCUUUAUGACCAUGUGCUCUGAAACCAUAGUACAUUCAAAGCAUCAUUCACAAUGACCAGGCAGGAGUCAUCCUUGAGGUGGUUCAACAUGCAGAUUAAUAACAGAGAGUCCCCAUAUUUGCACAAUGAAGGGCAAAGAUCUGAUCACAUCAACAGGAUCAGAUAAAACUUGAGAGAUAUUUGACACUCUUUCAUGAUAAAAUUAAACAAUGUUAUCAACAGUGGCUAAACUUCUAAUGUCUCACAAAUAUACACAACAAUGAGCUUUUGCUAGGUCAGGGGUAAAAUGUAACCGAUAGUGUGUCUGAAAAAUUGUUUAAAUGAGACAAUUGACAAAUAUGUGAACAUUUGUCACAUCUGGUCAGCAUCAUGGGAAAUUAUAUAUGAAAAUGUAAAAUACCUUUUCCCCUUAUCCAAUUUGCUGGGUUUUUUUUUUAAUAUGUAGCUGAGUGUGACCUUGAACUUCUCAUCCUUCUGUGUGACAGUUAGUGUUAAUUGUCUACCUCACAGAAUCUAGAAUCAUCUGGGACAAGGACCUCUGAGCAAGGAUAUGAUUUUGACUACAUUAGUUGAUGUGGGAAGACCCAUCUUAUAUGUAGGUGGCAGGGGAUCUUAGCGUCUGUGAAAUGGAGAAAAGAGCCAAGGUACAACAUUCAUCCCUCCCUCCUCCCUCCCUCCUCCCUCCCUCUGUCAUCCAUUCACUGCUACUUGACUGUGGAUGGAAUCUAACAGUUGCUUCAAGUCUCUGCUGCCUUCACUUCCCUGCUGUGGUGGACUGUAACUUGAACUGUGACCCAAGAUAAGCCCUCCCUUAGAUUGCUUUUAUCAGUGUAUUUCAUUUUUUUGUUUUCUUUUUUUUAUUAGAUAUUUCCUUUAUUUACAUUUCAAAUGUUAACCCCUUUCCUAGUUUUCCCUCUGAAAAUCCCCUAUCCCCUCCCUCCUCCCCCUGCUCCCCAACCCACCUACUCCAGCUUCCUGGCCCUGGCAUUCCCCUGUUCUGGGGCAUAGAACCUUCAUAGGACCAAGGGCCUCUCCUCCAAUUGAUGGCUGGCUAGGUCAUCCUCUGCUACAUAUGCUGCUAGACCCAUGAGUUCCACCAUGUGUUUUCUUUGGUUGGUGAUUUAGUCCCAGGGAGCUCUGGGGUUACUGGUUAGUUCAUAUUGUUGUUCUUCCUAUGGGGAUGCAAACCCCUUCAGCUUUUUGGGUACUUUCUUUAGCUCCUUCAUUGGGGACACUGUGCUCCAUCCAAUGGAUGGCUGUGAGCAUCCACUUCUGUAUUUGUCGUGCACUGGCAUAGCCUUUCAGGAGACAGCUUUAUCAGGCUCCUGUCAGCAAGCUCUUGUUGGCAUCUGCAAUUUUGUCUGGGUUUAGUGCUUGUUUAUGGGAUGGAUUUGCAAAGCACAUGAAACUCAAGAAUAGGAAAGACCAAAGUGUGGAUACUUUGAUCCUUCUUAGAAGGGGGGAACAAAAUACCCAUGGGAGGAGUUACGGAGACAAAGUUCAGAGCAGAGACGGAAUGAAUGACCAUCCAGAGACUGGCCGACCUGGGAAUCUAUCAGUAUAUUUCUAUCACAGCAGUAAGAAAAUAAACUAAGGCAUCCUGGCCACAUUUCUUGAAGGCUAGUAUUAGAAGCUUUUACUAUGAUGCCCUGUUUAUAUGAUGUUGGAGUUGGAACCCAGGGCUUCAUGCUUGCUAGGCAAGCAUGAAACCAACUGAGCCAUAUCCUUAGCUCAAGUCAUUUUUGAUUCAGAAUAUUUUUCUUUCAUUUCCAAAGUACUGUUAGAAGCCUCAAAGGCAUCACUCAAGUCCACCCUCUUCUCUUCAAUGUGAGUUCCAUUGAAGAUAAUAUUAUUUUUGGAGUUAGUCUUUGCCUUGCAAUUGUCCGUCCUUCCUCAGCAUCCCUUCAUCUCAGCCCCUCUUCUACCAGUUCCCAAGGUCCUGAGCAACACCCAUAACAUCUCAGCACAGGAUGCUUCCCAAGGCAGAGCUAUGGCCUCUGUAUCUGACAUGAUCUCUUCAACAUAAUGGCUGAACAGGCAAAUGGAAGUAUUUUAUGUAGAGGGAAAUACUAUUCACUCAUGUACAUAAGAUGGGUUUUGACUUGACCUGUCAAUGGCUUGGACAGGAAACUAUCUUGUAUUUUUGUAUUCAAACUUUAAAAGACAUGCAUUCAGGUGGGUCUAGUUUACACUGAUCAUAAACUCUACAUACAUGUUGCCACUAUGCACAGUUAAGUCAAAAAGCAGAGUACUAUUGUCUUAAUGUUGUCUUUAUUGUCUUAGAAUUUUACUUCCACCAAGAAACACCAUAACAAAGGCAACUCUUUUUUUUUUUCUUUUUUUUUUUCCAUUUUUUAUUAGGUAUUUAACUCAUUUACAUUUCCAAUGCUAUACCAAAAGUCCCCCAUAUCCACCCACCCCCA
Molecule: long non-coding RNA, 7350 nt
Filed under: Mus musculus (house mouse)
Lineage: Eukaryota; Metazoa; Chordata; Mammalia; Rodentia; Muridae
Description: long non-coding RNA chr12:29019287-29026637
Source: RNAcentral